Molecule: transfer RNA, 73 nt
Filed under: Nitrospirota bacterium
Lineage: Bacteria; Pseudomonadati; Nitrospirota
Description: Nitrospirae bacterium (sediment metagenome) tRNA-Pro
Rfam family: tRNA
About the family: Transfer RNA (tRNA) molecules are approximately 80 nucleotides in length. Their secondary structure includes four short double-helical elements and three loops (D, anti-codon, and T loops).
Source: RNAcentral
CGGGAAAUGGUGUAAUCUGGUAGCAUUCGUGCUUUGGGAGCAUGAAGUGGGGAUUCAAAUUCCUCUUUCCCGA